UGCGCAGGCGGGGAAAUAAGUCAGUGGUGAAAUCUUCCGGCUCAACCGGGAACCUGCCAUUGAUACUGUUAGUCUUGAGUUCGGCUGAGGUAGGCGGAAUGUGUAAUGUAGCGGUGAAAUGCUUAGAUAUUACACAGAACACCAAUUGCGUAGGCAGCUUACUAGACCGACACUGACGCUGAGGCACGAAAGCGUGGGGAGCGAACAGGAUUAGAUACCCUGGUAGUCC
RNAcentral lists this ribosomal RNA (229 nucleotides) under uncultured bacterium. Its description in RNAcentral is "partial 16S ribosomal RNA". It matches the Rfam family "Bacterial small subunit ribosomal RNA", at positions 568 to 796 of the family's 1533-position model. The record is from RNAcentral.